UUCAAUUUUUAUGAAAGUGACGGGCGAUAUGUGCUCAUUUAAUUAACGUUUAAAAUUUAAAUUUUAUUUUUUUUAUUUUACUUUUAAAUCCUAUUUCUUUUUUAUUUUUUUUUCAUUUCAUUUUGAUAGAAUCAGUGUAUUCCACCCUCUCUUAAAUUUAAUUUUUGUCUUGAUUUGUUUUAUCAUAUUUUAAUUUUUUGUAUGAUGUUUUAAUCCCAAUCUGAACAAUGAUAUAAAAAAUAAAAAUUUAAGUUGUAUUAAUCGUGGGUUAUCGAUUACGAUGCAGAAUCCUCUAAAUGUUUUAAAUGCCGCCAUUUUUGAAAGUUUUUUCUUGAUUUAGAUAAUCUCUAGUUUUUUAAUAAAA
Molecule: ribosomal RNA, 364 nt
Filed under: Trimeroptes luanchuanensis
Lineage: Eukaryota; Metazoa; Arthropoda; Arachnida; Trombidiformes; Diptilomiopidae
Description: partial small subunit ribosomal RNA
Source: RNAcentral